UCUUCUGCAGAAGAGAGGCCUUCAAUUUUGCAAUAUCCUUUGUUGAGGGUUUUAUUUCUACAAUUAUUCAACAAACGUCGGCUUAGAAAGCUAUAUAAUAAUAUAUAUGUAUAAAAGGGGGAAGAAAGUAUAAACGACCCUACUCACUCCUAGGGUCGCUAGAGGAGAGUCCAGUUGAGAAAAGAGAUUCACCAAGUAAAAGCUCACCC
Molecule: long non-coding RNA, 209 nt
Filed under: Elaeis guineensis (African oil palm)
Lineage: Eukaryota; Viridiplantae; Streptophyta; Magnoliopsida; Arecales; Arecaceae
Description: long non-coding RNA (EGUI_LNC015107)
Source: RNAcentral